Molecule: ribosomal RNA, 675 nt
Filed under: Triticum aestivum (bread wheat)
Lineage: Eukaryota; Viridiplantae; Streptophyta; Magnoliopsida; Poales; Poaceae
Description: partial small subunit ribosomal RNA
Source: RNAcentral
AUGUUCAAUCUUUUUUUAGCGGUUUCCCCAGAGAUCUUUAUCAUUAACGCAACCUUCAUUUUGCUCAUUUAUGGAGUUGUAUUUAGUACCUCUAAGAAAGAUGAUUAUCCACUGGUAGUUAGUAAUGUGGGUUGGCUUGGAUUACUUAGGAACCUUAGCAUGGGGGGACGUCCUAAUCCUUUUGCCACCACAAGGCCGGCUAAUCAUACGCAGCAAGAGCAAGGGAACUCCCCUGGUUCAGGAAGGCACAUGAGUCCGAAUGCUAUUAUGAAUGUGCGACCGACACUACACUAUGUAGGUACCUGUGCAUGCAGGAGGGACAAUAUUACAUAUUUCUGCCAAAUCCUUCUAUUAUUAAGUAUGGCUGGUACCAUUUCGAUGUGUUUCGAUUUUUUCGAAAAAGAGAGGUUUAAUGCUUCUGAAUUCAUUGUAUUAAUUCCACUUCCUACUCGCAGUAUGCUCUUAAUGAUCCUGGCUCAUGAUUUAAUUGCCAUGUAUUUAGCUAUUGAGCUUCAAAGUUUAUGUUUUUAUGUGAUCGCAGCAUCAAAAAGAAAGUCUGAAUUUUCCACGGAAGCCGGCUCAAAAUAUUUGAUCUUAGGUGCAUUUCCCUCUGGAAUAUUAUUGUUCGGGUACGACCGGACUACUACCGAUCAAUUUUUUGGAACUUAUUUAUAG